Molecule: long non-coding RNA, 814 nt
Organism: Monopterus albus (swamp eel)
Lineage: Eukaryota; Metazoa; Chordata; Actinopteri; Synbranchiformes; Synbranchidae
Exons: 3
Source: RefSeq, a predicted model, not a curated record
CUCGACACUGCAGUGACUGAGUCAGGAAACAGGCUAAGCCGAACCCGUUCCGUGCCUACGGUGACACAGAGCUCGACCCGGUGUCUAAACACCAGGCUCUGUUUUUAUCUGCCGAUGAAAGAACGCGUGAAAAGGACUUCCAGGGCUGGAUAAGUCACCGAGACGGAUUAAACGCAUAGACGUGUGGCGGGAAUAAUUGGAGGCGUGUUAGGGGUGAAGGCAGACCUGUCAUGGAUGUCACGGUGCCUCUGUGCAGGGGACACUAGUGACUGCCGGCGCUGCGGGGCUGAUUGACAGCUUGUCACAACGGGAAUUCCAGAUGUGGAGUCGGCUUGUAAGGUGCGGCGAGGCUCUGAGAUAGCUCGCCACAGCCGCAGGACUGGCGCCGGACCAGGGAUGGCUGGCUGGAGCAAACUCCUGAGUGGACUCGCAACUCAAGAAACCGCAUCAACAAGCGAUGUAUUUCUUUUUGGCAAUGCGGUGCCACUGUAGUCGACACCAGCCGAGCUGACACGUCGAGCUAGCCAAAAACAAACAAACUGACAUUUCCGAGGGGAUUCAGCCACAAGAAAACGGACCAGCCCCCUGAGAAGGGGUGUUUUAUCAGUUACGUGAAAAAUGAAGAGGACGGAGAAUAAAAACAAGAGGAAAUUCUGCAACAUGGAGCAGCAGGAGAGAGCCGGAGAGGAGAAAGAUGCGAAGGAGUUUGCAGUGCCCCCUCCUCUCCUCUUCAGGAAGCUGAGCAAUCCCGACCUGUCGCCUGCAGCAUCCACUGCCACGCGGUCCAAACUUCACCGACAGCUUAGUCAGGAUG